Molecule: ribosomal RNA, 254 nt
Filed under: uncultured bacterium
Lineage: Bacteria
Description: partial 16S ribosomal RNA
Rfam family: Bacterial small subunit ribosomal RNA
Source: RNAcentral
GACAGAGGGUGCAAACGUUUGUUCGGAAUUACUGGGCGUAAAGCGCGUGUAGGCGGCCAUGCAAGUCGGAUGUGAAAUCCCACGGCUUAACCGUGGAAGUGCACUCGAAACUGCGUGGCUGGAGUCCUGGAGAGGAAGGUGGAAUACUCGGCGAAGAGGUGAAAUUCGUAGAUAUCGAGUGGAACACCGGUGGCGAAGGCGGCCUUCUGGACAGUGACUGACGCUGAGACGCGAAAGCGUGGGGAGCAAACAGG